AACGAACGCUGGCGGCAUGCCUAACACAUGCAAGUCGAACGAGACCUUCGGGUCUAGUGGCGCACGGGUGCGUAACGCGUGGGAAUCUGCCCUAGGGUGCGGAAUAACUCGGAGAAAUCCGUGCUAAUACCGCAUAAUGUCUUCGGACCAAAGAUUUAUCGCCCUGGGAUGAGCCCGCGUAGGAUUAGCUAGUUGGUGGGGUAAAGGCCUACCAAGGCGACGAUCCUUAGCUGGUCUGAGAGGAUGAUCAGCCACACUGGGACUGAGACACGGCCCAGACUCCUACGGGAGGCAGCAGUGGGGAAUAUUGGACAAUGGGCGAAAGCCUGAUCCAGCAAUGCCGCGUGAGUGAUGAAGGCCCUAGGGUUGUAAAGCUCUUUACCCGGGAUGAUAAUGACAGUACCGGGAGAAUAAGCUCCGGCUAACUCCGUG
RNAcentral lists this ribosomal RNA (432 nucleotides) under uncultured bacterium. Its description in RNAcentral is "bacterial SSU rRNA". It matches the Rfam family "Bacterial small subunit ribosomal RNA", at positions 29 to 507 of the family's 1533-position model. The record is from RNAcentral.